GGUUUGUAGUCAACAACGAUUGUCCUUCAAUCCGCCUAAGACGAAAUUUAAACACAGUAAAUCCAGAAAUACCUUUUUCUGCCCAAUACUGUAUAACCUUAUACAAACCAUCAUAUGUGUAAAGUUUCCCACAGUAACUAGUAGCAGAUUCAUGCCCCCGGACCACUCUAACUGGGACAGCUUGCUCAAUACAAUUCUUGAGAGCCAAAUUACCACGUUCCAUUUUUUGAUCCCGGAUCUGACGUUUAUUGCCAGUUAAAUUCUGCCCUCCUUGACCAGUGUAAAUG
This 287-nucleotide unclassified non-coding RNA is filed under the name Hevea brasiliensis (rubber tree). The record is from RNAcentral. Lineage: Eukaryota; Viridiplantae; Streptophyta; Magnoliopsida; Malpighiales; Euphorbiaceae.